Molecule: ribosomal RNA, 241 nt
Filed under: Salmonella enterica
Lineage: Bacteria; Pseudomonadati; Pseudomonadota; Gammaproteobacteria; Enterobacterales; Enterobacteriaceae
Also listed under: 4 other names
Description: partial 23S ribosomal RNA
Rfam family: Bacterial large subunit ribosomal RNA
Source: RNAcentral
GGUUAAGCGACUAAGCGUACACGGUGGAUGCCCUGGCAGUCAGAGGCGAUGAAGGACGUGCUAAUCUGCGAUAAGCGCCGGUAAGGUGAUAUGAACCGUUAUAACCGGCGAUACCCGAAUGGGGAAACCCAGUGUGAUUCGUCACACUAUCAUUAACUGAAUCCAUAGGUUAAUGAGGCGAACCGGGGGAACUGAAACAUCUAAGUACCCCGAGGAAAAGAAAUCAACCGAGAUUCCCCCA